Athalia rosae (coleseed sawfly) is the source of this 421-nucleotide long non-coding RNA. RefSeq lists it as uncharacterized. The transcript is spliced from 2 exons. The record is from RefSeq and is a predicted model, not a curated record. Lineage: Eukaryota; Metazoa; Arthropoda; Insecta; Hymenoptera; Athaliidae.
GUUGUGAGUUACCGACGUCAUUUCUCUGUUAGAAAACGUCACGUGCGUUUGUACCGAACGGAAUGCAAUCUAUCCGACAUCGUCAUUCCGUGCACCUGUUGAUAAAGACUAAGGUUUCUUUCCGCAUAAUUAUGAUGUGGUUUCAGACUAUCUUCCUUAGCUGUUGACGGUUCUGCCAUUAUCGCAAGUGUUUCGUCGUUUCGUAGUGUCAAAAACAUCAUUUGCGAUGACAUAUUGUAACAAUUAAUCUACGCAAAACUAAUUCUUUUAUCUUAUCUAUAAAUAUUUUUCCUCGAUUUUCUUCCACUCUUCAACGUAUGUUACAUAUCAUACACCUAUGUAUAAUUUAGCAGUAUGCACGCACACGAGGUAUGUAUUUCCAUGUACGUAUAACGAAUAAAAUGCACUUGAUCAGCUACAA